RNAcentral lists this ribosomal RNA (468 nucleotides) under uncultured bacterium. Its description in RNAcentral is "partial 16S ribosomal RNA". It matches the Rfam family "Bacterial small subunit ribosomal RNA", at positions 28 to 507 of the family's 1533-position model. The record is from RNAcentral.
GACGAACGCUGGCGGCGUGCUUAACACAUGCAAGUCGAACGGAAAGGCGCUGCCCUUGUGGGGUGGUCGGGUGGCGAAGGGGAGAGGAACACGUGAGGAACGUGCCCUUCACUCUGGGACAAGUUAACGACACGAGGGCGAAGACAGGAUGGGAGCUCCUGCGGCAGGGGGGGGGUGGGUAAGGUGCGGCGGUUGGGGCGGGAGGCGCGGGGUAUGAGCCCGUUGGUGGGGUGGGGGCGGAGACGGGCUUCGACGGGUAGGCGGCCUGGGAGGGUGGGCGGCACCGCUGGGACUGAGAUAGGGGCCAGACUCGUGCGGGAGGGAGCAGUGGGGAAUAUUGCGCAGUGGGGGGGCGCCUGAUGCAGCAACGCCGUGUGCGGGGUGACGGCCUUCGGGUUGUAAACCGCUUUCGCCUGUGACGAAGCGUGAGUGACGGUAGUGGGUAAAGAAGCACCGGCUAACUACGUG